This 254-nucleotide ribosomal RNA is filed under the name uncultured bacterium. Its description in RNAcentral is "partial 16S ribosomal RNA". It matches the Rfam family "Bacterial small subunit ribosomal RNA", at positions 524 to 777 of the family's 1533-position model. The record is from RNAcentral.
UACGUAGGGUGCAAGCGUUGUCCGGAAUUAUUGGGCGUAAAGAGCUCGUAGGCGGUUUGUCGCGUCUGCUGUGAAAACUCGGGGCUUAACCCCGGGCCUGCAGUGGGUACGGGCAGACUAGAGUGCGGUAGGGGAGACUGGAAUUCCUGGUGUAGCGGUGAAAUGCGCAGAUAUCGGAAGGAACAUCAGUGGCGAAGGCGACUACCUGGCCUGUUCUUGACGCUGAGGCGCGAAAGCUAGGGGAGCAAACGGGG